RNAcentral lists this unclassified non-coding RNA (335 nucleotides) under soil metagenome. RNAcentral's name for it is "partial contains 5.8S ribosomal RNA, internal transcribed spacer 2, and large subunit ribosomal RNA". The stretch from base 1 to 120 matches the Rfam family "5.8S ribosomal RNA", at positions 35 to 154 of the family's 154-position model. The record is from RNAcentral.
GAUGAAGAACGCAGCGAAAUGCGAUAAGUAGUGUGAAUUGCAGAAUUCAGUGAAUCAUCGAAUCUUUGAACGCACAUUGCGCCCUUUGGUAUUCCUUAGGGCAUGCCUGUUCGAGCGUCAUUUGAAACCUCAAGCUCAGCUUGGUGUUGGGUGUCUGUCCCCGCCUCCGCGGGGACUCGCCUCAAAAUCAUUGGCGGCCGGUACGUUGGCUUCGAGCGCAGCAGAAACGCGAACUCGAGGCCCGGCGGAUCGGCGACCAGAAGUCUCUUCUUCACAGUUUGACCUCGGAUCAGGUAGGGAUACCCGCUGAACUUAAGCAUAUCAUAAGCGGAGGA